UACGUAGGGUGCAGGCGUUAAUCGGAAUUACUGGGCGUAAAGCGUGCGCAGGCGGUCUUUUAAGUCAGAUGUGAAAUCCCCGGGCUUAACCUGGGAACUGCGUUUGAAACUGGAAGGCUAGAGUGUGGCAGAGGGGGGUGGAAUUCCACGUGUAGCAGUGAAAUGCGUAGAGAUGUGGAGGAACACCGGUGGCGAAGGCGGCCCGCUGGGGUGGAGCUGACGCUGAGGCGCGGCAGCGUGGGGAGCAAACAGG
Molecule: ribosomal RNA, 253 nt
Filed under: uncultured bacterium
Lineage: Bacteria
Description: partial 16S ribosomal RNA
Rfam family: Bacterial small subunit ribosomal RNA
Source: RNAcentral